AUACGUAGGGGGCGAGCGUUGUGCGGAAUGAUUGGGCGUAAAGGGCGCGUAGGCGGCCCGGUAAGUCUGGAGUGAAAGUCCUGUUUUUAAGAUGGGAAUUGCUUUGGAUACUGUCGGGCUUGAGUGCAGGAGAGGUAAGUGGAAUUCCCAGUGUAGCGGUGAAAUGCGUAGAGAUUGGGAGGAACACCAGUGGCGAAGGCGACUUACUGGACUGUAACUGACGCUGAGGCGCGAAAGUGUGGGGAGCAAACAGGAUUAGAUACCCUGGUAGUCCACACUGUAAACGAUGAAUGCUAGGUGUAGGGGGUAUCGACCCCUUCUGUGCCGCAGUCAACACAAUAAGCAUUCCGCCUGGGGAGUACGGCCGCAAGGUUGAAACUCAAAUGAAUUGACGGG
RNAcentral lists this ribosomal RNA (396 nucleotides) under uncultured bacterium. RNAcentral describes it as "partial 16S ribosomal RNA". It matches the Rfam family "Bacterial small subunit ribosomal RNA", at positions 523 to 917 of the family's 1533-position model. The record is from RNAcentral.